RNAcentral lists this ribosomal RNA (253 nucleotides) under uncultured bacterium. RNAcentral's name for it is "partial 16S ribosomal RNA". It matches the Rfam family "Bacterial small subunit ribosomal RNA", at positions 524 to 776 of the family's 1533-position model. The record is from RNAcentral.
UACAGAGGAUGCAAGCGUUAUCCGGAAUGAUUGGGCGUAAAGCGUCUGUAGGUGGCUUUUUAAGUCCGUCGUCAAAUCCCAGGGCUCAACUCUGGACAGGCGGUGGAAACUACCAAGCUGGAGUACGGUAGGGGCAGAGGGAAUUUCCGGUGGAGCGGUGAAAUGCGUAGAGAUCAGGAAGAACGCCGGUGGCGAAAGCGCUCUGCUGGGCCUAAACUGACACUGAGGGACGAAAGCUAGGGGAGCGAAUGGG